GAGUUUGAUCAUGGCUCAGAUUGAACGCUGGCGGCAUGCCUUACACAUGCAAGUCGAACGGCAGCACGGGAGCUUGCUCCUGGUGGCGAGUGGCGAACGGGUGAGUAAUGCAUCGGAACGUAUCCUGGAGUGGGGGAUAACGUAGCGAAAGUUACGCUAAUACCGCAUAUUCUGUGAGCAGGAAAGCGGGGGACCUUCGGGCCUCGCGCUCUUGGAGCGGCCGAUGUCGGAUUAGCUAGUUGGUGAGGUAAAGGCUCACCAAGGCGACGAUCCGUAGCAGGUCUGAGAGGAUGAUCCGCCACACUGGAACUGAGACACGGUCCAGACUCCUACGGGAGGCAGCAGUGGGAAUUUUGGACAAUGGGGGCAACCCUGAUCCAGCCAUGCCGCGUGAGUGAAGAAGGCCUCGG
RNAcentral lists this ribosomal RNA (410 nucleotides) under bacterium enrichment culture clone ALO1_GLFRUDD03F2NO9. Its description in RNAcentral is "bacterial SSU rRNA". It matches the Rfam family "Bacterial small subunit ribosomal RNA", at positions 9 to 420 of the family's 1533-position model. The record is from RNAcentral.